GGAUAUGAGGGCGAUCUGGCUGCAACAUCUGUCACCCAACUGAUUGCCAGGGUUGACUCAGCUAAUGAGACUGACCGGUCAUUCGGUUGAGGGCAUAAGAGUAGCUGUGCCCCCCCUGUUAGAACCUCCAAACAAGCUCUCAAGGUCCAUUUGUAGGUGAAUGUAGGGUAGUUAAGCUUCCAAGACUCCAGACACAUCCAAAUGAGCUGCUAUAUGUGGCAGUCUGCCUU
Molecule: small nuclear RNA, 230 nt
Filed under: Erinaceus europaeus (western European hedgehog)
Lineage: Eukaryota; Metazoa; Chordata; Mammalia; Eulipotyphla; Erinaceidae
Description: 7SK RNA
Rfam family: 7SK RNA
About the family: 7SK was discovered as an abundant small nuclear RNA in the mid-70s but a possible function has only recently been suggested. Two independent studies have found that 7SK RNA binds the CDK9/cyclin T complex (known as elongation factor P-TEFb). P-TEFb activates transcription by phosphorylating the C-terminal domain of RNA polymerase II.
Source: Rfam by way of RNAcentral